This 503-nucleotide ribosomal RNA is filed under the name uncultured Glomeromycotina. Its description in RNAcentral is "partial small subunit ribosomal RNA". It matches the Rfam family "Eukaryotic small subunit ribosomal RNA", at positions 591 to 1092 of the family's 1831-position model. The record is from RNAcentral. Lineage: Eukaryota; Fungi; Glomeromycota.
CCAAUAGCGUAUAUUAAAGUUGUUGCAGUUAAAAAGCUCGUAGUUGAAUUUCGGGGUUAGUAGGUUGGUCAUGCCUCUGGUAUGUACUGGUCUCACUGAUUCCUCCUUCCUGAUGAACCGUAAUGCCAUUAAUUUGGUGUUGCGGGGAAUUUGGACUGUUACUUUGAAAAAAUUAGAGUGUUUAAAGCAGGCAUUUUUGCUUGAAUACAUUAGCAUGGAAUAAUAAAAUAGGACGGCAUGAUUCUAUUUUGUUGGUUUCUAGGAUCACCGUAAUGAUUAAUAGGGAUAGUUGGGGGCAUUAGUAUUCAAUUGUCAGAGGUGAAAUUCUUGGAUUUAUUGAAGACUAACUACUGCGAAAGCAUUUGCCAAGGAUGUUUUCAUUAAUCAAGAACGAAAGUUAGGGGAUCGAAGACGAUCAGAUACCGUCGUAGUCUUAACCAUAAACUAUGCCGACUAGGAAUCAGACGAUGUUAAUUUUUUAAUGACUCGUUUGGCACCUUACG